Long non-coding RNA from Mus musculus (house mouse), 8460 nucleotides. RefSeq annotates it as predicted gene, 51937. Lineage: Eukaryota; Metazoa; Chordata; Mammalia; Rodentia; Muridae. The record is from RefSeq and is a predicted model, not a curated record. The transcript has 2 exons.
UUCAACUGCCAACAACAGCUAGAAGGCUCCUGGGUCUCAGCUGUGCACUCGCAAAUCCAAGAGCUUCACAAAGGCUGCUUUCUGCCAUUUUCCAAAUGCAGGCCCCGGGGUUUUGUUGAGAGGCAAACCGGUCCAUCUGAGUGUCGGGGAUUUGGCCUCAGAGCUUAAUUUAGAUAGAAACAAGGCUCAGUCUACCCCGAUUUCCUAACGGGACAUUUUUCAAACUUCCCAAGGCUUUGCGGGUGCUCCUCUUUAUUUAAUUCCAGGGACCCUCACUGAGGAGGUAGCAAAGCCCUAAGGGGUCCGAUUGGUGUCAGUGAUAGACACGGGAGUCAGCCGAAGCAAACUUCCAUAUGGACCCAAGCUGGAGGUGCCGAUUCAUUUCCUCCCAGGUUUCAAAAAAAGUAAUUUUGAGAAGGAGACAGGAAAUUACAGCAAGUUUCAUUUGUUGAUAAAAGGAAACAAAAGGUUAAAGCGGAGCAUUGUUUGCUGGGGAUUUUAUUAGUUCCCUCCACUGGGGCUGAUCUGUUUAAACUUCUUUCAUUACCGUACAGUGAUAUUUUCCUCGCGCUGACAGAGAGGACGGCCCUUAUCUGCAAGGGUCGGGCCACAGCAGGAUAUUGCGGCCGCUUAUCUGACCACGGAGCAGCCGAGCCCUCAGCCAGGCAAGGAAGAGCUGUACCACUAAUGGAGGAAAAAUUGCAGCGAGUCCUUGUCCCUGUGAGUGCUGUGAAUGGUGUCUGCUGUUGAUAGGAUCUGGCUGCGGUGCCCAUCGCCCUGGUGGUCUGACUGUCCAGCACCCCUCUGUGAAAGAUGGAGGAUACCUGACCUGCCCAAGGGCGCAUAGCCAUCCCAGUCUGGAAGGGUGAAGCCUGCUUGCUGAUCCAGCCUCCCUUAUAAAGUGAAGCCUCGGGAAACCUCUUCUUCCAAGAAGAAAGCAAUUCUUGUCUGGCUAAAGCACUGACUCCGCAAACUUAGCAUCUCCCCCCCUUGGACACACUUGUUCUACAGGAGGCCUCUUGGGGUUCUUCGGGACAUGAAUCUGCUAGUGGCCAGGUGGAAGAGCUUCCUAGCCUGUGGAUAGCCCAACAGUAGAAUUCUGCCCACGUCUGGAAAGAUGGACCACAGGGCCCAUCUGUGUUAAGUUUGUUAAGUAUGCACUGUUUUAUGCUCUGUAGCUCUGGGGAGAGUAGAGUCUUGGCUAACUGCUUUGAUUGUUACUUCUCAUGACAGAGUUUCGUUUGGGGUUACAGGAUACACUUUGCAAUUUUCAGAAGAGUCCACGGGACAUUUAGAACGCAUUGGUGACUUUCUGUGGAAUAUUGGCCACUGUGACUGCCCAUCUUACUCAGGUAUAUGAGAAGAACGUGAGCAACUCAUUGAGCCAGAUCGUAGAGGAUUACAGGUUGACGUUUUAAAUUAUUGUCUGACUGGAAUGCAUAGCAAUUUUAUUUUACUCAUAAAUAUUUUUCUAUGGCUUUAUAUGUACAAGUCUAACCUAUGAUGCACAGCUCUACCCAGGAUUUGUAGCAAACUGGAAAAUAGCUGUCUGCCUCAGGAGUGCUUCAAAAGUCAGGCUGCAUGACUGGAAUGUCCUCAGCCCCUAUCCUGAGGUACUGUAUUUAUUAAGUUAAUUUUCAUUUUUUAAAAAUUAUGUGUAUGGGGACACAGUCUAGGUACAUGUAUGGAGUGCAGGAGUGCACGGGACAGAGGCAUCCAGUGUCCUAGAGUUGCAGUUAUGGGAGUAGCUGCUGGAAACCAAACUCAGGUCCUCUGCAACAACAGUACACACGUUUAUUCCCUGAUUAAAGUUCCUGGCUCCCCGGGGGCAUUUCAUUUCUAAUAACCAUUGCAACUGGCUAGAAAGUAGUUUGCUGAAAUAAACCGAAGCAAUAAGAGUUGGGGUGUCCAAAUCUUACACAGGGAGAUUUCACUGAUGACCUUGGGUAGCAGUGUUGCUCAGUGGUAGCCAAGUACACAGGAGGCCAGUAGGUUUGAUUCCCAGUGCAAAAACAAAAGACCUCACUGAACAGCUUACUCACCUCCACACCAUUCAGAAGAUACCGGAAUUCAGGACAGAUAAAGGCACUGCCCGCGUAAGCAGCGUCAAUGUGCAGCCACACACCCUCCUGGUUGCCUAACAUCAGAAGGGAAAGGUGAGUUCUCCUCUGGACAUACCCCAACCUUGUGCGUCUAGCAUACAUACCACUUACAUAUAGCUUAUCAAUAGUACUUGUGGAACAAAUAGCUGGAUCUCCAAAAGACCCUCCCAUCAGGGGGCUAAAACUUAAGACAGAGAUACCAACAGCUGGCCAACACAUCAGCUGCCCAGAGAGUGCUUAGCAAAUGGGGGACACACAAGCCACCACUGAACAUAGUACUGAGGCCAGCAUAGCUCCCCUACUGUGCUUACCCACAUUCUCUUCUAAGUUCCAUCCACCUCAUUCCACACACCGUGAGUGCACUCCCUCAUUGUAUUUGCUACCUCUUUUCAAGUCCUCCUUUCAGAAACAGCCUUAGGACACAUGACCCAUACUCUGAUGGUCUUAGUGGUCAAUUUGGCCAGAUUUGGAAUCACUCAGAAAGGCAAAGGUCUUGUCGUGUCUGUGAGGAUGUUUCUAAGGAGGGUUAACCAAGGAUGGCAGACCCACACUGAAAGCGGGUGGCACCUUCCAAUGCAUAGAAAGAGGUCCCAGGAAAAACACGGUCACCUUCCUGCCUCAGAUGGUAUCUCCUAAUCAGCUGCAUUUAUCGCUUGGUGCUGUUCUCUGUUAGUAUCUCACUCCAGCUUCCUCGGCCUUCCCCCACGGACUCAAUACCAGAAACUUUUCAGUUAUCUGGGUUUUCAGCCGUAGAGUGGGCCUCUGGAGCAUUCAUUUCCUGGACUGAGCAGUGACUGAGUUCAUUGUGUCUCUACAUAGAGGCAGCCAUUGCAGACAAUCUAAUACAUCCCACUUUUAUAACAUAUAUGUGUAUAGAUGUGUGUAUAGGAUAUAAAUGCAUAUAUUUGAUAGAUUCCAUUCCUCUAGAGAACCCUACAUACACUUAUAUUGUUCUGCCUCUUCCAUGUCCACCACAAACUUAGGUAAUUUAUCUUAAACUACCGUUGGCUUGUGUCAUAAAUGACUUACGCUUCCUAACUAAAUUUUCCCGCUUUUGCUCUCGCUAUGAUAAAAUACCUUAACAAAAGCAACUUAAAGGAGAGCGGUUUUACUUGGCUUUACGAGGUUCAACAUAGAGGAGUUCUGACAAUGGGAGCUUGAAGCAGGUCAUCCUGGUCAAUCCAUGACCAAGAAGCAGAAAAUGACAACUAUUUGCCCUCAGCUAGCUUUCUAUUUUUUAAUGAAGUGCAGGACUCUAACUCAGAGAAUUGUGUUACCACUUUAGGGUGGGAUUUCCACCUCAAUUAACUUAAUCCAGAUAAUCCUCUAAAGGUCUGGCCAGCAGCUAAUCUAAUCUAAAUUAGGGUACUGGUGUGCCUGGUGUGUCUCCUACAAGAGUCCAGAUCCUAUCAAGUUGACAAUCAUCACUAACCUUCUCCCCCACCACACCACCACACACAAGAGCCUUAAAGAUAGAGUGCUCACAUUCUUUGAGGAUGAGAAAGCCUCCUCGGCAAGCAUAUAUGUGCCCUUAGUCAUGUAGCCUAAGCUUUAUUCUGAGGGUAAGGGUGGUAGAUACAGCUUUGAGUAUACAUUAAAUAAUACUCGUAAAUUGCCUAUUCUAUCACCUAGAAGUCAGUGAAAAUUAUUAAUUUUCAAGCAGAGCAUUAAAGGCACAGGCCUUUAAUCCUAGCACUUGGAAGGCAGAGGCAGAGAUCCCUAUGAGUUUGAAGCCAGCCUGGCCUAAAAAGCAAGUUUCAGGACAGCCAGGGCUGUCACACAUAAAAACUGUGUCUCAAAAAAACAAAACAAAACAAAACAAAACAAACCCUGAAUUUUCAUGUAUGGUAUAGUAAUAUAUAAAUUGAAACAAGUAUUCCAUGCCAGAGGGAGGCCUCUGGAAGACUCAGGAAGUAAACAAACUCAACGAUCUCUGGUAGUUUCUGAAAUUUACAAAAUUUAUAAAAUGUGCACCCCACUCUACCCAGCCUCCCAAAGUUAUAUUAAUAACAAUGGCUGCUAAGGAAAGGAGACUGUCCAGAAGAGCUGCCUACAAGUUAUGCUGGAAGCUCCAGGGUGCAGCUUCUGUGAGAUGUCAGUUAAGUUGGGCUUGGUUUUUCAGUGAUGGAGCUGCCCUUGAGCAAUCCCUGUUCCUUUGAGCAACUUCUCACCCAAAUGCCUGUAAAUAACCCAAUACAGUCGAUGUACAGUCAAGCCGGAUGUUUGUGGAGUUGUUAAUUUGGGCCUUUAAUUAGUUUCUUGUCUGAGGUGAGUAAUGCUUUUUUGUAUCUUAUCUAGGAAAAACACACCACGAGAAACAGUUCAAGCACCAAAUAUAGUCACGAGGUAGUUAAGAUAGGAAGGUUGAGGCUACAGAGAAGAUAGCAGGCAGCUAUCCCUGCACAGGUGAAGAGCCUGCUGUCCUUGUAUUCAUACAGAAUGACCCAACCACCCCUGAUUUUCCAUACAUGAUGAUCAUUAAUGUGUGUGCUGGGAGGAAAAACAAGUCAUUGUGAAUUCUGCUGAUAAAGGAUGUAAGAAACAUUCCAAAGCUUUGGUUCAAUUAUUCUUCAAAUUAAACCUCUUGGUAAGUCAAGGUCAAAUGAAUCAUAAACUUUGUGGAUACCACUCUGCCAGAACACCAUCAAAAUCUAAGAUACAACAAGAAACCCAAGUCAUCUGAAGCAAGGGUGAAGGUGUCAGACUCACCAAGUGCUCACACGCCCUCCCCUGCCCCACAGUGGGAUGCAGCAAGAGACACAGCCUUAGGAUAACACAAGACUCUCCCCAAGGAGCAACAGGAUAUGAGUGAUGGAUGGUCAUCACAGCCAUCACUCAGAUUAACCAUGAGACUGGCAGAGCUUUAUACUCCUUUGUAAGACAAGACACACUGUAAUUUGAAUGUCUGUUAAAUCCUUUGGAUCCAUUGGCUUUGGGAAGUGACCAGAUCAUCAUGGUGGAAUCCUGAGACACCGGAGAGAUUGCUCGUAUCCUCUACCAUGUGAUUAUACAUAGAAAGUGCUACCCAUUAGCCAGGCAACAAAUCAACUAGUGCCCUACUCCUGCCUUUCUACACACAAGACGUUUAAAUAGUGAACUCCUGUUAUUUACACACUCUGGGGUCUGUGGUGUUGUGUGGAGCAUCCCAAAUGGACUGAAACAAGAUGAUGUCAUGUUUUCCAUGGGUGCUGCUUGGGUUCCACAUAGACCUCUAUUUAUAGAAUUUGCUUUUUCGGCUGAAGUCCUCUAACAUAGCUCCUUAGAUGCCGUUGUUUAUGUUCCGUUCAGGAUAUCAGAUGAAGGGGUGAGACAAAACAAGAUGGAGAGUUUUCGUGGGUCAACCACAAGAAACCCUCAUACCUUGGCAUGGGAAACUAGGGUCUAGAAGGCUAUUUAGGCUUCUUUUUUCUCUCACACCCUUCUGUUGCUUAUCCCAUAUCCUCCAUCCUUGAGAGAAGGGCAUGAUUUUUGAAAAGAAAACAGGCCACUUGGCUGCACCCCUAGGUAUCUCAGAGCUUGUUUCUUAGCACCUAGAUGAAAGACAUUUCACUCUGAGUCUCAACAACUAAGUGGGGAACAGCUAAAGCCACUCUAGAAUGUGUCACCCAUAAACCUGGUUCAGUAGGUAGGAAAAUAUUCUAUACGAUGAAUCAAGUUUACGUGCAAAAUCUAACCUCUGCUCUUGAGAGAUGACCUAUAGACCUCUUUUUUCCUGGAGCUUUGGCCCCAGACAGUCUGAUACUAUGAUUAGUGAUGGAGACACCAGGCAAUUUUCACUUCUGGGGGAGUUGAUCUCUAAAGGUUCUAGUUGGGCUUCCAGGAGGGUCUGAGUAGGACCAAGUCUACACAAAAACAAGCAGCAAAAGGUUAGAGAGCCUUGCCUUCUAGGGGAAUGUCGUUACUCAGAGCAUAUAGUUAUAUAUUAUAUACGGCUAGAGUGUUUCAUGCCCUUGUGACUCCUCAGAGUUCACCAGAAGCUGUGUGUGCUCACACUUCAAGACUGUCCUGUGUGUCUCCUUGGCUGAUUUUAAUCUCUAAUCUUCAACCAUCCCUGUGAGACAGUUCUCAGUAAGUUUUAGAGUCUUUAGCAGCUUAUGGGGUCUAAAGGAGUUUGAAGAGUCCUCAGGUUGUAGCUAGUGUCUAAACAAGGGUACUCAGUCGCAAGGACCGCCUUGAGAAGUCUGCAACUUGGAUCAACUCCAAACUCCAACAAGAAAGAACUCACAAAUGCUCCUUAGAAGCUUCUGUAUGGGCUUCUCCUGGUCCUAAGGGGAAGGGAGACAGUACUGACAAUGCCUCUGUGUUCUGCAUCUUACAUGCUUGGCUAAGACCAGCCCCAUCAUCCAGGCUCUCCAGCACACAUACACAUGUAGGAGUUAUGUGGAUGUAGCAUGAACACACAACAGCCAGAUAUAGGGAGUUACAUAUGUCAGGCACAUUACCACUGAGGCCACACCCACCACCUUUUGCUUCUAAAGCCAUUGGCCUCCUGUUGCUACUACAAUCUAUUUUCUAAAAGGAUGCCUCAUUAUGCAGAAGUCAGGCCAGGGUAACCAUGGCGUACAACCUCCUUGCAAGCCCCUCUGUCCCUUGGGAUGAAGCUGUGGCAGGCCAUAGUAUACCUAUUCCCCUUCCUCAGUGUCCCCAUGUGUGUACCUAAGGCUGCCACCUAUCCAUCUGCUAUAACUUAUUCUCUCUUUAAUAAACGCUGAUCGCCUUCCACCCCCAGCAAACAAAAGGCAUUGGCUUAGAGACGGUGGGUUACAAAGGCUUAACUAUAAGACGCUACCACCAGUUAGUAUUAUUGCCCUGAUGAACACUGGCCAUGCAUGAAAGGGGUAGGUGUUGGCCUGUUAGCACCCCCAACACUGUCCUAAGAGCAAUCCCUGGGUUUGAACUCAAACUGCAAAGUGCAUAUCGGGCUCUGCCCACAGCACCCGAACCGCCUGCCAGAGGGAGCUGCAGGACAGCAGGGCAGCCUGAGCUGUGCUCAUCCAGCACUGUGAGCAUUAAUGGCAGGGGCCACCUGCUGGCUGUCAUCUUCCUGCUCCUGUGGGGAGCCAGAUUGAGUUCAGGGAUAGCAGCCGUGUAGUCUCUAUCUGGCAGAAGACUUCGGUGCUUUAAAUCUGAUAGCCCUGGGGAAUGACAUCAGCCGGCUGUUGGCCAGGACAUUCAGUCCUUGGCCUGACAUCUGAGUCAGAGGACUUCGACUUGCUUGGCUGAGCUUGUGAAGGUCUGCAGCUAACGAGGCCCACAGUACAGCCAUACUGCGGAUGGCCAGCUAGUUCAGUGUGUUCUCAGCCUGCUGUGUGUGGCUGCCGUUAGCCAGUAAUAAUCACAGCUGUGCCAUAGCUCAUAACAGGUGGAGCCAAAUCCUGAGUGAAUGGCAAGGCUGUGUCCACCCCACUUCUCACGGUUGGUGAUUAGCCUCACGGUCCUGGCAGUACAAGCAUGUACUACACGCAGUACAUGCCUUUCCUACAGCCUAUUGUCUGCAAGAACUCCCCUGAGCUGCACUGUGAAGGAAAUACUGUUUUACCAUUAUGAGAACCGUUUUUCUUUCCAAUUUUUUGAUAGGGGAAAAUGAAGGUCAGAAUUUAAGACAUGCAGCUGUAAGCUCUAAGCUUCCCUGCCGCUUAAGGUCAUGGCCAGCCCCCACAUCCACCAUUGUCUCCUGCUGGCCAGGGAACAAUGACCCAAGGGAGAAGAAGUCUUUCCGAAGAAGAGACCACAAGUAAAUCAGGGGUUAGGAGAGGUGGGAAACGUGCUUGGCCCACACGAAGUGACAAUGAAGCCAAAUGCCAAGCAGGUGGCGUGAUGUCUGGCACAAGUCGAAGGGCUGAGGUCAGAGAGCUUGCUAGGGACAGCUCCACCCGAGCCUUUACAUCCCUGAGGAACAGAGAAGGGUGAGUUUCAUGGGCUGAUAUAUCCUUGGUGCCUUAGAAACAGUUCCAAGGCCUGCUGAGUUCCCAGAGCUCGCAUCAAAGGUGAAACUUUGGAAACACAGGCAUUUCUUCAUUUUGCAGCUAAAACAGAAUUCUAGUCUCGAUGAGAAAGACAAAAUGUCCUCAUCUAGGGAGGAAGGAGGCAAGCAUGAGGCCCAGGAAAUUAUCUGAAACUGAGUGUUCUUUGUAGAAGUUUAGCUUGAAAGCAUUGAUUUGCUAAAUCAAUAUGAACAGCUAUGUGCUCCUUACUGAUGGGCAUGUCUGAGAAAUUUAUCAUUCCACAAGGCAGUCAUUGGGAAAGCUUUGUUUUGCUUGUACACAUCUCAGAAGUAACACAUGGCAUUCUAACUGGUGUUUACCCUCACUGAAAAUGUCACACUGCAUAGCACAGCACAAUAAAUUAUGCCUGUCUA